GAGGACAGGAAGUUCCCAGGUAGGGAUGUUUGCCUCUGGGACUUUGGGUUUUAUAGUGACCUGUCCUUGUUCAGCUGCAGAGGCACAGAGGCACCCAGUAGCUUUCUCCUUGAUGCCCGGGGCUGCAGGUCCAGGCUGGCUGAGGUUGACUGACACGCGGUUCCUCAUGCAGUGUCCAUGGGCAGGGCAGGCCAGCAAAGUCCGUACUAUCCCAACUUGGCUUCUGGUGGGUACCUUACUCUUCAACCCUGGGGCUGAUGUUGCAAGGUAAACUUACUGAGAUCUGGCCAGGCCUGGAGUCAGAGGGGAAGAACCAGAGCAGAUUCAGCCCAGGAGACCAGAGGAUGGACAUAUAUGACCUGGGGCAGGGCUAGGAAAAUUGUCCCGGCACCCCCUGCAGCAAGCACCAGCUUCCUCUGGGCUGGAGCUGGAGCUGGAGCUCAGUAAUAGAACUUGCCCAGCAAACGUGAGACCUGAGGUUCUGUUCCCAGGACCAAAAAAAAAAAAAAAAGAAUUUUAAAUUAAGCACCACCAUAGAAUUUCUUUAAGAAUAUAAGCAAACCAGGAGGCUAGACAAAAAGCCUUAGGGGCCAAGGUCUCAAGAUGACUCAUCUUGACUGGGCUUAUCCUCAGGUCUCUGCAACCCCACCCGGCCUCCACCUUUGUUGUUUAAUCAAAAAUGCUGCUGGCUCUGGAGUCAGGUGGUUUCACUCCAGACCUGGGUGAACUCCGGGUAGGCGAGAUCAUCCACUGUCUGAAGACACAGGCAGGUCUGUUGUAGCAAAAAAGAGCAUUCGUUCAUAAAGCCGGUGAUUAAUCCCUGGGUUGCAGGGGAGCUGUGCUGCUCUCUCUUCCUUUCUUUGUUCUCCCUGGGAGCCCUCUGCUGGGUGGCCCUUGUCUGUUGGCUCCCCUCCAGUGGUGGCCUCCAGCAGAGUUAAUGGCACCUCUGACAGUUCUGAUUCAAAUACAGCACCAAUGUUUACAAGGUCGGAGUAUAAGGCAGAAACAGG
This 1010-nucleotide long non-coding RNA is filed under the name Marmota monax (woodchuck). The record is from RNAcentral. Lineage: Eukaryota; Metazoa; Chordata; Mammalia; Rodentia; Sciuridae.